Molecule: ribosomal RNA, 265 nt
Filed under: uncultured bacterium
Lineage: Bacteria
Description: partial 16S ribosomal RNA
Rfam family: Bacterial small subunit ribosomal RNA
Source: RNAcentral
GUCCACGCGGUAAACGAUGAAUACUAGAUGUCGGGGUAGCAAAGCUACUCGGUGUCGUCGCAAACGCAAUAAGUAUUCCACCUGGGGAGUACGUUCGCAAGAAUGAAACUCAAAGGAAUUGACGGGGACCCGCACAAGCGGUGGAGCAUGUGGUUUUAAUUCGAAGCAACGCGAAGAACCUUACCUGCUCUUGACAUCCCAUUCGAUAGAGGGUAAUGCCUCUAGCCCUUCGGGGGAAUGGAGACAGGUGGUGCAUGGUUGUCGU